AAAUAUCGCCCAAACAAUCUGCUGGUUAGCAGACCCAGCUGUGUUCAUUCUUACUGUGCGGGGAGCAGGGAGGAGAGUCAGAGGAAGGAGGCCAACGCCGGGAUCCUCACCGAGAUUCUGAAGGCUGGUUGAGGAUCUGAUCCCUAUUUCCAAGACCAGAGGAUAUCCCUAAGCUUUUCCUGUUGCUUUUGAGGAUUAGAACCGUCUCAUUUUCAGACCUUGAGAAGUCAAGACCCUUGUGACUCAAAAUGAAUUUACACCUGUUACAUUUGAAUUAGACGUUUGGAAACUGGCUCAGAGAGUGCGGGUUUCUCCUGAUGAGUGGAUACGCACCGCCAUCUAGUGGCUCCCCGAACAAACUGCCCGUGGUCCGGAACAGUUUCUUCAGAAGAAGACUGCUCCAUGCCCACCAGUGUUCAAGGAGCUUUGUGGAGUGAGGAAAUGAGAGGUGCUCACUUUUCCUGUAAAUCUAAAAGUGUUCUAAAGAUGAAAAUCUUUUCAUUUAAAAAGUAACUAUUCAGAAAAUGAAAAGACAAGCAUAUGCUGGUAGAAAAUGUUUUUGAAGCAUAUCUGCUAAAGGAUUGAUAUCCAGAAUACAUAAAGAACUUUGACAAUUCAAUAUUAAGAAGAUAAACUGAGUUUUUUUUUUAAAAAAGACAAAUGAUUUGAACAGACAUGUCACUAAAGAAGAGGUACAAAUGACAAAUAAGCACGUGAAAAAAUGAUUAUCAUAUCAUCUGUUGUCAUUGGUAAAUGCAAAUUAAACUACGCUGAAUUCCCACCGCUGGAAUCAUUGCUAUUUAAAAGAGGAA
Molecule: non-coding RNA, 812 nt
Organism: Delphinapterus leucas (beluga whale)
Lineage: Eukaryota; Metazoa; Chordata; Mammalia; Artiodactyla; Monodontidae
Source: RefSeq, a predicted model, not a curated record